GGAAGUAAAAGUCUAACAGGGUUUCCGUAGGUGAACCUGCGGAAGGAUCAUUAUUGUAUAACCGAGGUGCGAGGGCUGUCGCUGACCCGAAAGGUCGUGCACGCCCGAGUGCCCUCACACACAUCCAUCUCACCCCUAUGUGCACCACCGCGUGGGUCCCCCUUUGGCUUGUUCGGAGGGGGGCUUACGUUUUCACACGAACUUUGUAUGCAGUGUAGAAUGUAUUUUUUGUUUUUGCGAUCACGCAAUCAAUACAACUUUCAACAACGGAUCUCUUGGCUCUC
RNAcentral lists this unclassified non-coding RNA (284 nucleotides) under plant metagenome. RNAcentral's name for it is "partial contains small subunit ribosomal RNA, internal transcribed spacer 1, and 5.8S ribosomal RNA". The stretch from base 1 to 53 matches the Rfam family "Eukaryotic small subunit ribosomal RNA", at positions 1778 to 1831 of the family's 1831-position model. The record is from RNAcentral.